RNAcentral lists this ribosomal RNA (766 nucleotides) under uncultured archaeon. RNAcentral's name for it is "bacterial SSU rRNA". It matches the Rfam family "Archaeal small subunit ribosomal RNA", at positions 87 to 871 of the family's 1478-position model. The record is from RNAcentral.
UGCUCAGUAACACGUCGUUAAUCUGCCCUUAGGUCAGGGAUAACCUUGGGAAACUGAGGCUAAUACCUGAUAGGGGAUUUGUGCUGGGAUGCUUUUUCCCUGAAACUCGUGCCUAAGGAUGAGACGGCGCCGGAUUAGGUUGUUGGAGAGGUAACGGCUCACCAAGCCUAAGAUCCGUACGGGCCAUGAGAGUGGUAGCCCGGAGAGGGGUACUGAGACACUGACCCCAGCCCUACGGGGUGCAGCAGGCGCGAAACCUCUACAAUGCACGCAAGUGUGAUAGGGGGAUCCCAAGUGCUUAUGUUAAACAUAGGCUUUUGCCAAGAGUAAAUACCUUGGCGAAUAAGUGGUGGGUAAGACUGGUGCCAGCAGCCGCGGUAACACCAGCGCCACGAGUGGCAACCGCAUUUAUUGGGCCUAAAGCGUCCGUAGCCGGUCAUGUAAAUCUUUUGUGAAAUCAUACAGCUCAACUGUAUGGCUUGCAAGAGACACUACAUGACUAGGGACCGGGAGGAGUCAGAGGUAUUCUGGGGGGAGCGGUAAAAUGUUAUAAUCCCCGGAGGACCACCUGUGUGAGACGUCUGACUAGAACGGAUCCGACGGUGAGGGACGAAAGCCAGGGGAGCGAACCGGAUUAGAUACCCGAGUAGUCCUGGCCGUAAACUCUGCGAGCUAGUGUUGCAUGUUCUACGUGAGCAUGCAUGUCGUACGAGCGUAGCUCCGCCGCCUGGAGUAUUGUCGCAGCUGAAACUUAAAGGAUUGACGG